AUUGAACGCUGGCGGCAGGCUUAACACAUGCAAGUCGAGCGGGGUGAUGGUGCUUGCACUAUCACUUAGCGGCGGACGGGUGAGUAAUGCUUAGGAAUCUGCCUAUUAGUGGGGGACAACAUCUCGAAAGGGAUGCUAAUACCGCAUACGUCCUACGGGAGAAAGCAGGGGAUCACUUGUGACCUUGCGCUAAUAGAUGAGCCUAAGUCGGAUUAGCUAGUUGGUGGGGUAAAGGCCUACCAAGGCGACGAUCUGUAGCGGGUCUGAGAGGAGGAUCCGCAACACUGGGACUGAGACACGGCCCAGACUCCUACGGGAGGCAGCAGUGGGGAAUAUUGGACAAUGGGGGGAACCCUGAUCCAGCCAUGCCGCGUGUGUGAAGAAGGCCUUAUGGUUGUAAAGCACUUUAAGCGAGGAGGAGGCUCUUUUGGUUAAUACCCAAGAUGAGUGGACGUUACUCGCAGAAUAAGCACCGGCUAACUCUGUGCCAGCCGCCGCCGUAA
Molecule: ribosomal RNA, 503 nt
Filed under: uncultured bacterium
Lineage: Bacteria
Description: partial 16S ribosomal RNA
Rfam family: Bacterial small subunit ribosomal RNA
Source: RNAcentral